Molecule: long non-coding RNA, 1574 nt
Organism: Cavia porcellus (domestic guinea pig)
Lineage: Eukaryota; Metazoa; Chordata; Mammalia; Rodentia; Caviidae
Exons: 2
Source: RefSeq, a predicted model, not a curated record
UUCUGACUAGCAACAAGGCUGAGGCCACCUUCAUGAAGAGCGCAGGAGUGGGUGGCCCGACUGUUGGACUGAGCCACGUUCCUGCUCCCCAUAUUCUGUCUGCAGCACAACCUUGGGUGUCUGUAGGGACACAGAAGGGGCCACCUGUGAGGAGGAGACACAGGCGCAGAUCACACCUCUGACAAGGCUGGUGACUGCAGAAUGGACUCCUGCAUCUCCAUGGUGACAGACUGAUGUCACUGGAGAUGAGCAAGCAUCACAGACACCCAUGUCACCAAACAGGAAGCACAGGCAGCACUGGCACCCACAAGAGGACGUUCACACCAGUGCUGUUGCGGUGAUGCUGACCACAGCCAAGGGCCCCGGGAGCUGGGGAAACCAAGGCAGCUGAAAUGGACUCCUCUGGGAAGCAGUCAGAUCUGCUGCUGAGAAAGAUUCAUCCUUUUGCAGUUUUGACAUGGAGAAACAUUUCUAAAGGUAAAAUUCAAAAUCUGGAAGAAGCCAAUCAAGAUUAAGGGAUCUGACCUAAAACUUUCCCAGAACCGAGAGCAGCACCAUAAAGCAGUGUAAGAAGACUAAAGCUAAACCAUGAAAAAUACAACUUAGGAAGAGCUUUUAAAACUGAAGAAGGGGCGUGUGGGCUCAGAUAUGACUGGGACAGUUUACAAGAAAGCAAUCCAUGCAGCUCUUCGACCCCUUUCAGAAAAGAGAAGCCAAAACAAAGAUCAUCCUGAGAGGAGCAAAACUGUCCACAGAGAGAAGAGAAACUGGCCAUGAUGCUCUGGGCUGCAGGUAGCUCCUCCUUGACACCCCAAGUGCAGGUACUGAGCCCUGACCCUCAGUGGGAUGGAAGGAGGAGGAGGAGGUAGGCCCAUGAUGAUGAGGUCCACAGGCCAAGAAGAUGGAGCCCACAGGGACCUAGCGCCCCUACAAGACAGCCUGCUUCACAGGAAGCAGAAUGAGCACCCUGCCCCCACCAGGAGUGAGGUCAUCUGUGCCUUGACCCUCACCUCACCUCCGAAACACAAGACUGUGAGACACAAACUCCCAUGGCUUAAACAGCAAUGUAAGGUGUGCACACCCUGCAGAGGGGAACUCUGGGAUACUCAACACAAGCGCAUGUGCGUUUAUGACUUGACCCCCCGGGAAGUCCCGCCUCAGGGGAUCCCCUCCUGUGGGUCAUAGCAGCAGAGACAAAAGCAGCUCCUGACCAGUCCCUGGCACACACCCAACCCUCUUUUGUUUUCUGUUUCUUUUCUUUUCUCCUCCUGGGGAAAGGAGUCUGGUCUGCGUCUUUGAAUCUCUGGUGUCUUUUUUAUCUCUAAUUUAUAGUAGCUGUUCAAUAUCUAUCAUAGCCCUGUCUGUAACAGGAAAGAUUGGACAUGACUCACAUGCUUAGAAAUAUCAAAGCACUUCUAAAAAUGAGUAGACAUCCUCAUAGUAGAAUACUAUGUAACUGUAAAAAUGAGAAAUGCUGAGGAUUUAUCUUAGUGGCAUAAGCACCUGCCUGGUAAGCUUGAGGUCGUGAGUUCGAUCCCAGGUACCAAAAAAUAAAAUAAAUUUAAAAAGAAGCA